AUGGUCCUAUUUGACGAGUUCCUGGUUGGGUCCAUUGACCUCGCCCGACUGAACUAUAGGGUAAUCACUCUCAUCCCUAAAGUGACGGGAGCCUCGGACAUCUGUCAGUUUCGACCGAUCACGGUGAUUAAUGUCAUCUUCCGCAUCCUCACGAAGGGGUACGCCAUUAGGGUGGCCCCUAUUGUCGACCGGAUCACUCACCCUGACCAGUCGGCCUUCAUACAGGGCCGCUAUAUCCUUGAUGGAAUUUAAGUAUUCCAUGAAGCUCUCCAUGAGGUGCACGCCAAACACCUCAAGGCAGUCUUCCUGAAACUGGAUUUCCACAAGGCCCAUGACACGGUCAGUUGGACCUUCCUUCGGGAAUGUCUGCUCCGUAAGGGUUUCGACGAUAGGUGGGGUGACCAGAGUGAUGCAGAUGGUGUCAUCAGGCCGCAUCGCGGUGAACAUUAA
RNAcentral lists this ribosomal RNA (450 nucleotides) under Triticum aestivum (bread wheat). RNAcentral's name for it is "partial small subunit ribosomal RNA". The record is from RNAcentral. Lineage: Eukaryota; Viridiplantae; Streptophyta; Magnoliopsida; Poales; Poaceae.